Molecule: ribosomal RNA, 240 nt
Filed under: uncultured bacterium
Lineage: Bacteria
Description: partial 16S ribosomal RNA
Rfam family: Bacterial small subunit ribosomal RNA
Source: RNAcentral
CGCGUGAGGAACCUGCCUUUCAGAGGGGGACAACAGUUGGAAACGACUGCUAAUACCGCAUAACACAUAGGUGUCGCAUGGCAUUUAUGUCAAAGAUUUAUCGCUGAAAGAUGGCCUCGCGUCUGAUUAGCUAGUUGGUGAGGUAACGGCUCACCAAGGCGACGAUCAGUAGCCGGACUGAGAGGUUGGCCGGCCACAUUGGGACUGAGACACGGCCCAGACUCCUACGGGAGGCAGCAG